Molecule: non-coding RNA, 819 nt
Organism: Nylanderia fulva
Lineage: Eukaryota; Metazoa; Arthropoda; Insecta; Hymenoptera; Formicidae
Source: RefSeq, a predicted model, not a curated record
UGUCGUGAAAGCAGCUCUUGAAUUUGAUUUUAUAAACUUCAAUUUAUUACAUAAAUUGAAAAGGCAUAUUUAUGUUAACUUUAUUUCAUGUUUUUUUUAUUGUUGACAGCAAAUCUUAAAAUUAGAAAAGCACUUAUGAUGAGCAAUUAAAGUGUAAAAUAUCAUGUAGUUGAAUUUGAAGAUGGGCUUGAAAUUGUUCCAUCUUCAUGGGUAAAAGAUAAGAAUAUAUGCAAAUAUCCUGCAACUAAAUCCAAGAAAAAGAAAGAUAAAGUCGUUAUCAAUAACGUACAACCGGAUUCAAGUUGGAAAAAUUAUGCCAUUUUAAGGACAUUUGCAGUAUGCGACACUUAUGAAGAAGCCUGUUUAAAAUGUGAUAAAGCAGAAUAUGUAUCAGAUAUGAACACAGAUAUGGAUGACAAUGACAAAGAAAACAAUUUUAUACAAGAAUUAACAUGCCAAAACAAAGAAAAGUAUAUAAGAAAAGUAUAUAAUAGUGAAAUAUAUAAAAGUUCAUUUGAAGAUUUAAGUAUGCUAAUGACAAACACAAUAACGGAAAUAAGAGAUUUGAAAAUAACCACAAAUAUUAUGAGUACCGACAUAAAAGAAAUAAAAAUGGAUAUUACAAAUAUAAAGAUGGAUAUCCAACGCAUGUGUGGUAUAAUUUCGAAAUUAAAAGAAAGUCAAGAUAUUACUCUACCGCUAUCAAAAUGUACCGUUGCUUCACAAGCUGUUGUUGCUUUACAUUCGAUUUUUCCAUUAAAAACGAAAGAGCAAUUACAUCAAUUGGAAAACGAACUUGAAAUCGUCGAGAAAGAAACU